This 233-nucleotide unclassified non-coding RNA is filed under the name uncultured Basidiomycota. RNAcentral's name for it is "sequence contains ITS1". Lineage: Eukaryota; Fungi; Basidiomycota. The record is from RNAcentral.
UUGAAUAAACUUGGUUGGGUUGAUGCUGGCUCCUCGGAGCAUGUGCACGCUCACUCCAUUUUUAACCACCUGUGCACCUUGUGUAGAUCUGAACAACCUCUCGAGGAAACUCGGAUAUAGAACUGCUGUGCGUAAAAGCCAGCUUUUCUUGAGUUCAGAUUUAUGUCUUUAUAUACUCCAUAUGAAUGUAUUGGAAUGUAAUUGACAGGCGUUACUGCCUUUAAAAUCAAAUA